Molecule: unclassified non-coding RNA, 325 nt
Filed under: Aeromonas caviae
Lineage: Bacteria; Pseudomonadati; Pseudomonadota; Gammaproteobacteria; Aeromonadales; Aeromonadaceae
Description: partial contains 16S-23S ribosomal RNA intergenic spacer and 23S ribosomal RNA
Rfam family: Bacterial large subunit ribosomal RNA (bases 174-325)
Source: RNAcentral
UCGCGCCGUUGCAAACAUGCUCUUUAACAAUCUGGAAAGCUGAUUUAAAAAGUAGUUCUCAAACAUUUGUUACAAGUGCUUUGGAAACUUCUUGGCGAAAACCAAAUUUUAUUUGGUCCUUGUUGUACGACAACAGGCUGUGCCGGUUUCACCGACACUUCUUGGGGUUGUAUGGUUAAGUGACUAAGCGUACAUGGUGGAUGCCUUGGCAGUCAGAGGCGAUGAAGGACGUACUAACCUGCGAUAAGCCGUGAGCAGUCGGUAAGAGACAUUACGACUCACGGAUUUCCGAAUGGGGAAACCCACUUAGCAUAAGCUAGGUAUC